Molecule: long non-coding RNA, 1451 nt
Organism: Lutra lutra (Eurasian river otter)
Lineage: Eukaryota; Metazoa; Chordata; Mammalia; Carnivora; Mustelidae
Exons: 2
Source: RefSeq, a predicted model, not a curated record
AGGAGGCUCCCUGCUGAGCAGAAAGCCUGAUGUGGGGCUUGAUCCCAGGACCCUGAGACCAUGACCCGAGCUGAAGGCAGAGCCUCAACCCAGGUGUCCCUGAAGGUUAUUUUAAAGCUCAAAAAGUGGAAGACUGUUUAGUUUAUUGUUUUCCGUGGCAAUACAAUUCCCUUGAAAACUUAGUGGGUUUCUAACCAAAUUGUGCUGCCAGUUCACGUGUCAGUAUCCUCUUCUAAAAUUUUUUUACUAGACACACCUCUCAAGAAUGAAACAUGCCUGUUUCUUCACCCCAUCUGUGUAACAGUAGCUUCCUUGCGUCAGAACAACAGGCUCACGUGGGAAGCCCACAUCCUUCAUCUCUGCUUUGGGGUUGAGUUUGGAGCUCUUGUUGCUCAGAGCCUUUUUCAGUCUUACAUCUCUUACUGUUUGGAGUUUAGAAAUAGUCAGCUUUCCCAGACUUUGGAGUCCCAAAUUUCUGAACAAUACCCACUUUCAUUGCCUUUUUUUUUUUUUUUAAGGAUUUUAUUUACUUGACAUAGAGAGAGCACAAGCAGGAGGAGCAGAAGGCAGAGCGAGAGGGAGCAGACUCCCUGCCGAACAAGGAGCCCGAUGUGGAGCUCAAUCCUAGGGCCCUGGCAUCAUGACCUGAGCUGAAGGCAGAUGCUUAAUUGACUUGAGCCACCCAGGUGCCCUUCCCCUUUCAUUACUGUGUGCAGACAGACCAGUUCCUUCUUGAACACGCCAGCAAUAAUUCUUGAAAGGGGAAGAUAAGAGCCAACAUGCAGUAUAUCCGUCUGGUUCUUCCCAAACAAUUGCAGAGCUACCACGGCCUUGCCCUUCAUGUUACUGCGGGAACCAGCUACUGCAUGAUUUGCCGCGUGUGACAUGGCUUUUCAGCUCUUCAGCUUCUGACUCCAAUUUACUCACUGGCCACUAACCCAGUGUCAUCUACUUUACAUUUUUUUUUUUUUUCCUGGGGAAGUAGCCACUUCUAGAUCCUAAGUUUUGACUUAAUUUGGGUAACAUACUUGCAUCGACAACAAACCCUAAAUAUGUAAUAGCUCAAGGACAAUAGACUUUUUUUUUUUUUUAACUCCUGCAAAGUCUACAAUGAAGGGUUCUGGUUCGCAGGGGCUUUCCUCCAAGUGGAGGUUCCACGUUCCAGGCUCUUUAGGUCUAACUGCUUUGCCAUCUCAGCCGCUCUUCAGCGAAGGCAUGGGGAGCACAGACUCAAGGACAGACACAGAUAUCACCGCCCCAGCUCAAUGGCCACUUCUGGGAACCUCUGCCUGCUUUAGUGUUCAUUCCACAGCCCUGCAUGAUACUCUUUUUAAAGAAUGCCUUUUAUUUAUACCUUUUAAGUCAGGGGAACAAAGCUGCUUCAUUUAGAAAAAAAAAAAAAAAAACCAAAACCCUUCUAAUCUCCUGAUUUAAUAAAGUAAUUCUGCUGA